AUGGAUUUAAAUCCCCAGAUUCUGUGUUGGAACGUGCGGGGCCUUAACAACCCGGCUAAGCGUUUGGCGGUUAGGGAGUUUGUGCAGGCAGCCAAAGUUAACUUGGUUUGCCUGCAGGAGACAAAGUUGGAGACUGUUAACCACUUUGAUGUUAUGCAAUGUUUAGGUCCGUCCUUCGACGGCUAUUAUUACUUGCCGGCUUGUGAGACGAGGGGAGGGAUCCUGUUGGCGUGGGACUCCACGGUCAUGGGCAUUGACAGUUUCGUGCAUGACACCAAUUGUCUGUCCGGGCUAGUCCACAACAAAGAUGGGUCCAACUGA
RNAcentral lists this ribosomal RNA (321 nucleotides) under Triticum aestivum (bread wheat). RNAcentral's name for it is "partial small subunit ribosomal RNA". The record is from RNAcentral. Lineage: Eukaryota; Viridiplantae; Streptophyta; Magnoliopsida; Poales; Poaceae.